Molecule: long non-coding RNA, 282 nt
Filed under: Nicotiana benthamiana
Lineage: Eukaryota; Viridiplantae; Streptophyta; Magnoliopsida; Solanales; Solanaceae
Description: long non-coding RNA (NBEN_LNC015882)
Source: RNAcentral
GACCAUUUUCCUGUGGUAAUGGGGCUCCAUCAAGGAUUGGCGCUGAGCCCCCUGUUGUUCGCCUUAGUGAUAGAUGCUCUAACCCGUCAUAUCCAAGGGGAUGUGCCUUGGUGUAUGCUCUUUGCUGAUGGCUGAGCCCCCUGUUGUUCGCCUUAGUGAUAGAUGCUCUGACCCGACAUAUCCAAGGGGAUGUGCCUUGGUGUAUGCUCUUUGCUGAUUGAUAUAAUAUUGAUAGACGAGACGAGGGCCGGUGUUAGUGAAAGGUUAGAGGUAUGGAGACAN